GCCAUGCAUGCAAGAUUUUUUUGUAAAAAUUUUGAAUCUAGUGAUGCAAAAGAAACAGGGCCUGAGUCGCCGCCUGUCCGCUGGCCAUUUUGCAGAAACCAGCCUACUCGCUCAGCGAGACGAGCGCGCCGUCGUCACGGGACGCGACGGCAUCGGCGCCAUCUCCAAGAGCAAGAGACAGCCGGCCCUCCCCGUUGAAGCACCGCGCCCGACGCGCUGUCUCUCCCGUGGAUCCGGUGCUCCCCACCCGCGCGCCCAUCCCCACCAAAUCGACUUGCCGCCGCCCACCGCCGCGUCGAGCUGCCGCGUCGAGCUGCAGAAGUCGGAACCCCCGACGGGUGGCAACGCGCUGCGCCGGACGGAUCUGGUCUCCAGGGAGGUGGUGCCGGGUGGAUCUGACCGGUGGCCUAACCUCCAACGGCAGUAGCUUCACCGGCGCCCAAAUUUCUAUCCGUUCAACCAUAAAAUCAAUUCCGGUUUGAUCUUUUUUGUCAAAUUGAUUAACGCAUCAGUUAAUUAAUCUUGUAAUCUCGUAGCAAACUUGUGCAUGCUCUUGCUGUUCUGUGCCAAAAGGUCUAUUAUUCCUACAUGUUUGAGUUUCUAUAGUUUGAUUUGUGAUUUCAGAUUGUGAUUUCUCUCAAAUGUCAGUUUGUGAUUUCAGAUAGAGCUUCUUGGAAAGGGGAAAGGAACAAUUGCCGAGCUUGAGCAGGAGUUUUGGUCCAAUCUUUUGCCUUUUUGUCCAGCUGGUGCAAUUUCUGAAUCUAAUUUGGGAAUGAAGAUCUUAGCUGCUUUAGUUACAAUGUUUUUUUGGCUCUCCACUGAAACAAUGUAUUGAUGGCCUAGCAGAUGAUGACAGUGGAGAGGACCUAUAGAUCUGAGCUUCAGGUAAUUGCUUGGAGCUUGCUUGUCCUCAGCACCUAUAGAUUAAUUUCUAUUAUCAGUUUGCUUCUCCUAUACUUUGUAACUUGCUUGUCCUCGAUGUACCAUUGCUAUAAAAUUAUCUGUCAAUUGUCAUGAGUUUUGCUAGAAAACUGAUCCCACCAGGGGCUGCUAGAAAUCUGAGUUGUGCUACAAGCUGUGCCUUUUCUGAAACUCUUUGAAACUGUGCCUUUUCUGAAAUACAGACCAGUUAAAAUUUUGCUAACUUCAAACUUUGAAAAAUCUGAAACUCUGAAAUGGUGACCUGAUUAGUACUGUAAUUAUUCUUUGAAUUGUUCACCACUGAAACUCUGAAAUGCUACAGACCACCUUGUUGUUAGUGGAAAUUGGUAACCUGCUAGGCCAUAUGUCCUUCAGAUAGUUCUCUGAAAGUUUCUUUCUAGCUGCAGCAUGCGUGUAUGUGUUGUUGUAUAUGGCUAUUGAUUAAUGGUAGUCAAAGUCAGACAUGUUCUUGUAUAUGUUCUUGCCAGAUAAUUUUUGCUUGAAUAUUGAUUAAUGGAUAUUUCUCUUGACUGAUGGUCUGAGCUUGAGUGAAGGCAUAUAUGUUCCACUUUCAAGUCUGAACUUGCUACAGUUUCAGUUCUGAAAACUGAUCAGAGUGCAAUGGCCUUGUUUGGUUGUGUUCUAGGAAUCCUAGAACACACUUUGACCACUCAUUAGGGAUGUCAAACAAAGCCAGUUUACAAAAUCAACUCCAGAACCCAUGCGCUAGGAACUAUGAAGAAUCUAAUAAGACCUUUGGCCGCGCGAUUAGAGGAUGGUUACUGUAGCGUCACUGUAGCCAAUCAUCAAUUAAUUACCGUUAUUAGAUUCGUCGCGAAAAAUUACACCCAUCCCUGAAGAGGUUGACUUCAUUUUGUACUCCAUGCAUGUAAGAUUUUCUUCUCGGAAUGUGUGUUCUAGAAUCUCUAGAAUGAUGUGACAUUUUACCAAACAAGGCCAAUAUAUAUUUCCUUGUGUA
Panicum virgatum (switchgrass) is the source of this 1900-nucleotide long non-coding RNA. RefSeq lists it as uncharacterized. The record is from RefSeq and is a predicted model, not a curated record. The transcript has 2 exons. Lineage: Eukaryota; Viridiplantae; Streptophyta; Magnoliopsida; Poales; Poaceae.